UGCAGUCGAGCGGAGUGAUGGUGCUUGCACUAUCACUUAGCGGCGGACGGGUGAGUAAUGCUUAGGAAUCUGCCUAUUAGUGGGGGACAACAUUUCGAAAGGAAUGCUAAUACCGCAUACGUCCUACGGGAGAAAGCAGGGGAUCUUCGGACCUUGCGCUAAUAGAUGAGCCUAAGUCGGAUUAGCUAGUUGGUGGGGUAAAGGCCUACCAAGGCGACGAUCUGUAGCGGGUCUGAGAGGAUGAUCCGCCACACUGGGACUGAGACACGGCCCAGACUCCUACGGGAGGCAGCAGUGGGGAAUAUUGGACAAUGGGCGCAAGCCUGAUCCAGCCAUGCCGCGUGUGUGAAGAAGGCCUUAUGGUUGUAAAGCACUUUAAGCGAGGAGGAGGCUACUGAAGUUAAUACCUUCAGAUAGUGGACGUUACUCGCAGAAUAAGCACCGGCUAACUCUGUGCCAGCAGCCGCGGUAAUACAGAGGGUGCAAGCGUUAAUCGGAUUUACUGGGCGUAAAGCGCGCGUAGGCGGCUAAUUAAGUCAAAUGUGAAAUCCCCGAGCUUAACUUGGGAAUUGCAUUCGAUACUGGUUAGCUAGAGUGUGGGAGAGGAUGGUAGAAUUCCAGGUGUAGCGGUGAAAUGCGUAGAGAUCUGGAGGAAUACCGAUGGCGAAGGCAGCCAUCUGGCCUAACACUGACGCUGAGGUGCGAAAGCAUGGGGAG
Molecule: ribosomal RNA, 717 nt
Filed under: Acinetobacter calcoaceticus
Lineage: Bacteria; Pseudomonadati; Pseudomonadota; Gammaproteobacteria; Moraxellales; Moraxellaceae
Description: bacterial SSU rRNA
Rfam family: Bacterial small subunit ribosomal RNA
Source: RNAcentral